UUUAAUAAGUCUUAAGUUAUCUUUUGCGUGACGUUCUUCAAUCAAUCUUUCUAAUGGCCAAAUCUUGCAUCUCAUUUCCUUUCGUUCAUUCUCUCUCCUCCUCCUCCUCCUCCUCCUCCUCCUCUGUCUAUCUUCAUUCCAUCCUUCCUUUUAAUAAGUCCAAGUUAUCUUUUGCUUAAUUAACGUUUAUAAUUCUUUCUGGUGGUCAAAUCUUGCAUCUCAUUUUCCUAUCGUCCAUUCUCUCUCCUCCUCCUCCUCCUCCUGCUCAUAAUCCAAUUCCUUCUAUUCUCCUUUAUUCCUUUUUCACUUUCCCUCCUUCCCUUUUCCAUUCCCCCUCCCCGAUUUUCCUCCAUUCUUUCCUCCUCUAUUCUUCCUUCAUCUCCUUCUCCUUUUUCUCCUUUCACUCCUCCUCCUCCUCCUCUGUCUGUCUUCAUCCCUUCCUUCCUUUUAAUUAAUGUCUAAGUUAUCUUUUGCUCAAGGUUCCUUCCAGUGUGUUUGUGGUGCCCGGCUCUGCUUGCUAGUUUGUUUUGUCACUGUAUAAUUGUCAAUCCUAGUUUUUGUCAUUGUAUAAUUGUCAAUCCUAGUUUUUGUCAUUGUAUAAUUGUCAAUCCUAGUUUUUGUCAUUGUAUAAUUGUCAAUCCUAGUUUUUGUCACUAUAAUUGUCAGUCCUAGUUUGCUUUAUCCCUGUAUAAUGGUCGGUCCCAGCCAGGCGCCUCUUCCAUGUAAAGAUAUCGGCAGCUUCAAGCCUUGCCGAUAUCUCAAUCCGUACGUGAAUGUAAAUUAACCGAAAUCCUUGUUACUAAGCUCUGCAUGGUGCUCUCUAACUUAAUGCUUCUUUAAAUUUUCAGUCUCACUUAACUUCCGGGGUUAGUACUAUAUUUUGCCAUAAGUUAACUCCCCGUGAUGGCCAGUUUCAUGUAAUAUAUAUAAGUAAUUUGCCUUUUGCAUGGCUGUAAUUCUGCAUCCGUGUCUAAGGCCCAGUUUCACAGUUCCUCAUGAUGGGUUAGUAAGCUCCGAAACCAAUACCAGAGCCUUCGAAAUUUCCUUGUACGGUGUCUGGAGUUUAUAUUCAAGUUCACAAAUUUGAUGAGACUAUACAGGAAAGGUCUUGUGUGUUUAUGGUACGAAGGAAAGGGAGGAGAAGGGAGAUGAGAUUGGGAGACGAGUGAGCCGAGAUCCUGUUUAUAUUCAAGUUCACAAAUUUGAUGAGACUAUACAGGAAAGUUCUUGUGUGUUUAUGGUACGAAGGAAAGGGAGGAGAAGGGAGAUGAGAUUGGGAGACGAGUGAGCCGAGAUCCUGUUUAUAUUCAAGUUCACAAAUUUGACGAGACUCUCCAGGAAAGGUCUUGUAUUGUCAUGAUACGAAGGAAAGGGAAGAGAAGGGAGACGAGAUUAGGAGACGAGUGAGCCGAGAUCCUGUUUAUAUUCAAGUUCACAAAUUUGACAAGACUAUACAGGAAAAGCUGUGUUUAUGAUAUGAAGGAAAGGGAAGAGAAGGGAGAUGAGUAAGCUGAGAUCCUGUUUUUAUUCAAGUCCACAAAUUUGACGACACAAUACAGGAAAAGCUCUUUGUAUUUAGUGUGUCAUCGAAGACCGCGCCAUUUUGAACAGUAUGGGAUUCUAUAGCUUGGUUUGGGAGUGUUAAAAAGACCAUGAUGGACUGUGGAAGCGGCCCUUAAUGUUCCCUUUUCUAAUAUGCCUCUCUGUUUUUCCAGGAUGCCGCGGACGGACCAUGCAGAGGACUCAUCGCGACGACACCAACGGUUUGGUUAAGUGGGUUCUCUUGUGUGUGCGUCUGUGUGUGAAUGGCAGGCCUGUCGUAUGAUUGUGUGUGUGUGUGCGUUGGCGUUAUGCCUUCGCACUAUUAUUUUGUUAGGAUGUAUUUUUGUGUGUGAACUUUUUGCACGUAAUCUUUUUUUAUACCCAUAGCUAGCGUUUGUUUGUGUGGCAGUGUUCCGGGAGAUGGACGCCGGGGGACAUGGGCUUGGGGAGGCGCACAUGACCUCCUCUGUCCGUGAUCUCUUCAGCUGGGGAGACCGUGUGUUGCCCCGCCUGGAGAGACACGUUGAUGGAGGUGGCCGUGUGUGUCACCCUUUGCCUGUAUCCUCUGGCGCCCAGAGGCGCGUAAGCGGAGAGCAUCGGCGCAGCGCGGGAGCAGCACGUCAGGGUGUAGGGUGUUUGUUUAGCUGGUGUAGGGUGUUAGGGUGUUAGGGUGUUAGGUGUAACAACGGUUGGCUCUUUCACAGAACGGGUGUGACUCCGUUCUGCGUUUGAGUCUUCCACCUUCAGACGGUCUCCCUCCGAGAUGUCUGAAGUUUUUUUUGUCGGUUUUCUCCGUAGGAGGAAGCCGACUCUAGCUACUCUGGCCUCUCUUCCGGGGGUCAGAGCGGUCGGGCUCUGCUUGGCCAGGCGUUAGUCUUUCGCGUUGUCUCCGCCGACGUUUUGCCAGACUCUUCCGUAAGGUUGAGCCUGGCUUUUUUAUUAGGUGGAUCAGGCUGCCUUCUUCCAAGGAGUCUGAU
This is a long non-coding RNA of Eriocheir sinensis (Chinese mitten crab), 2519 nucleotides long. RefSeq lists it as uncharacterized. Lineage: Eukaryota; Metazoa; Arthropoda; Malacostraca; Decapoda; Varunidae. The record is from RefSeq and is a predicted model, not a curated record. The transcript is spliced from 3 exons.